Molecule: ribosomal RNA, 403 nt
Filed under: Verrucomicrobiota bacterium
Lineage: Bacteria; Pseudomonadati; Verrucomicrobiota
Description: Verrucomicrobia bacterium partial 16S ribosomal RNA
Rfam family: Bacterial small subunit ribosomal RNA
Source: RNAcentral
UGGGGAAUAUUGCACAAUGGGCGCAAGCCUGAUGCAGCAACGCCGCGUGAACGAUGAAGGUCUUCGGAUCGUAAAGUUCUGUUGCAGGGGAAGAUAAUGACGGUACCCUGUGAGGAAGCCCCGGCUAACUACGUGCCAGCAGCCGCGGUAAUACGUAGGGGGCUAGCGUUAUCCGGAUUUACUGGGCGUAAAGGGUGCGUAGGUGGUCUUUCAAGUCGGUGGUUAAAGGCUACGGCUCAACCGUAGUUAGCCUCCGAAACUGGAAGACUUGAGUGCAGGAGAGGAAAGUGGAAUUCCCAGUGUAGCGAUGAAAUGCGUAGAUAUUGGGAGGAACACCAGUAGCGAAGGCGGCUUUCUGGCCUGCAACUGACACUGAGGCGCGAAAGCGUGGGGAGCAAACAGG